GAUAAACGCUAGCGGCAGGCUUAACACAUGCAAGUCGAGGGGCAGCAUAGAUUGUAGCAAUACAAUUGGUGGCGACCGGCGCACGGGUGCGUAACGCGUAUGCAACCUACCCGUCACAGGGGGAUAAUCCGGAGAAAUCUGGUCUAAUACCCCAUAACAUAUGGAUCGGCAUCGGUUCAUGUUGAAAUUUUCGGAGGUGACGGAUGGGCAUGCGUAGCAUUAGCUUGUUGGUGAGGUAACGGCUCACCAAGGCGACGAUGCUUAGGGGGACUGAGAGGUUUUCCCCCCACACUGGAACUGAGACACGGACCAGACUCCUACGGGAGGCAGCAGUGGGGAAUAUUGGUCAAUGGGCGCAAGCCUGAACCAGCCAUGCCGCGUGCAGGAUGACGGCUCUAUGAGUUGUAAACUGCUUUUGUACGAGGGUAAAGUGGGUUACGUGUAACCUUUUGAAAGUAUCGUACGAAUAAGGAUCGGCUAACUCCGUGCCAGCAGCCGCCGUAA
This 504-nucleotide ribosomal RNA is filed under the name uncultured bacterium. RNAcentral describes it as "partial 16S ribosomal RNA". It matches the Rfam family "Bacterial small subunit ribosomal RNA", at positions 28 to 523 of the family's 1533-position model. The record is from RNAcentral.